GUUUGUAGUAUACAGCUGUGUACAUUUGUAUUUGGCGACUCCGAGGAGGAACUGACAAGUUCAGACUCCCGACCGCGGCUCCAGGAGACGUCCUGGUAGC
Non-coding RNA from Cricetulus griseus (Chinese hamster), 100 nucleotides. NCBI's taxonomy places the organism in Eukaryota, Metazoa, Chordata, Mammalia, Rodentia, Cricetidae. The record is from Rfam.